RNAcentral lists this ribosomal RNA (251 nucleotides) under uncultured bacterium. RNAcentral describes it as "partial 16S ribosomal RNA". It matches the Rfam family "Bacterial small subunit ribosomal RNA", at positions 524 to 773 of the family's 1533-position model. The record is from RNAcentral.
UACGGAGGGUGCAAGCGUUAUCCGGAUUCACUGGGUUUAAAGGGUGCGUAGGUGGGUUUGUAAGUCAGUGGUGAAAUCUCCAAGCUUAACUUGGAACUGCCGUUGAUACUAUAAAUCUUGAAUGUUGUGGAGGUGAGCGGAAUAUGUCAUGUAGCGGUGAAAUGCUUAGAUAUGACAUAGAACACCAAUUGCGAAGGCAGCUCACUAACACAAAGAUUGACACUGAGGCACGAAAGCGUUGGGGAUCAAAC